RNAcentral lists this unclassified non-coding RNA (199 nucleotides) under rhizosphere metagenome. RNAcentral's name for it is "partial ribosomal RNA internal transcribed spacer region". The record is from RNAcentral.
GAGACUGGGUGCUUCGGCGCCCGACCUCCAACCCCCUGUCUACCUUACCACUGUUGCCUCGGCGUCUCUGCCCACCUCCCCUCGCGGGUGGUGGGGGGUGCGCGCCGGCGGCCAAAAACAAAAACCCUUUUUUAAAUCAAGCAAUCUGAGAAAUUAUUUUAAUAACUUCAAAACUUUCAACAACGGAUCUCUUGGUUCU